Molecule: non-coding RNA, 4911 nt
Organism: Nicotiana tabacum (common tobacco)
Lineage: Eukaryota; Viridiplantae; Streptophyta; Magnoliopsida; Solanales; Solanaceae
Source: RefSeq, a predicted model, not a curated record
UAGCUUUUUUUUUUAAAAAAAAAACUUGGAAAAAUAUAAAAAUAGUUUCAUUUUAAUUGUCAGUCUUAUGUUUAUAGUUAUUUUGCUUAUGUAGGAUUAAUUAAAUAAAUUCAUGUUUUCGUUCUCGGUUCCGGGCAAAGAAUAAUAUUCGGGUUCAAACGACCCAUUUUUAGGCCUAAUUUUCGAACCUAGCCUCCGAGCCCACCACACGUGGGGGACACAGACAAAACACAAGAACAUGGGCACAUGGACAAAGUAACGUGGGAAGGCUUUUAAAAUUGGACCACUUAGAUUUAAGAGAAAAAAAAAAGAAAAAGCAUAUAAAAACACCCUACAUUUACAUAUACACGGAUGAGCACAUGAAAGGGGGGACUUAGACAUUUUUUUUUUGAAAAAAGAAAGGGAAGACCACUACUGUUGGUCUUCUUCUCCAUUUUUGAAGAAGAAGAAAAAACCACCACGACCAUAACUCCACCUCCUUCACGUCUCAAAACCACCACUGCCCGUCACCGAAAAAAUCGUCCAACGACCACCCUUCCACCUCCAGCAACCACCAUCGCCCUAGCUUCCUCUCCGUCUCACGACCACCAUCAACAGCCCACCAUCCCUCACGAACCAGAAGCAACAUCGUCAACCAAACAGUCCGUCGACCACCCUAUCCUCCAGCCAGCGAGCUCCAGCUCCACCAAAACAGCCAUCGCUGCUGCGCCAUCACCUUCCUCGUCGUCCACCCAGACCACCCUCAUCGUCGCCAUAGACUCCCUCCGUUCGUCGCUACAUCCGUCAACCGGACGAGCUCAACCUCACUAUCGAGCAACCAGAUCGUCCCCGUCAUCCUUCUUCUAGUCGACAACCAAUCAACCAGCCCCACGACCACCGGAGCCCCGUCGAGCAGCAGCUGUUGCUGCUGCUAUUGCUUCACGUUCUUCUCCUUCGAACACCAUAACACCAGCCCCCAGGUCUCUAACCAAUCAGCCCAGUUGUCGAUGUUUCUUCACUGUCGUCGCGCAGUUCGUCUGAGGUCGUCGUUUGAGUUGUGCUCGUGGUUUCCGGUCUAAGAUCUUUGAGCUUGACAUCGAGGUUUCAAGGUUCCGUCGUUGGAGAGGUUUCCGAUAGUUGUCGGUCCAGUUUGGUUGUUGUUCUUGCUUCAAACAGAUACAAAUAGUGAUUCAAGCCAUACUUCACAAUAUGUGACUCAACUUAGGUGAAGGUUGUCACGCUCCUUUCUUUCAGAGUUGUUCAGUGAGCUGGCAGGUUGAAGGGACACAUAAAAGAAAGUUGAAUCUCGUCUUCAAUAAAACAACCAUCAUUUUGUUCAAGUCAAAUUAAGACACCAAGGUGCUUCGAUGUGCAGAAACCAAUCUCUCAGGUGUUUACCUACAGCUUUGGUCAACUUCUGAAAAAUUAUUCUAUACAAUUCGUUGCAAUGCUUCGGAAAGUAGUACUUUAUGAUCAUCUAUGAUUCUCUUAUUUUUAUAUAUAUUUACUGAAUGAUUAUUUGUUUUUUGAGCUGGUUAUGAUCACUUAAGUGUGCACAUGAUCUCCACCAGAAAGAUUUAGCCUCCUGAAAUUGACUAGCAAAAAAGUCAUUGUCAGAAAUGACCAAUACAUAAACACAGACGCACUACCAAUACUUGGACCGGUUAUGCCCAAAACUAUCUUCUUGUAGUUUUUGCUUCCUCAUUGUUUUUGCUUUACAUUAACAAGGCACAGACCAAUAGUUUGGACCUAUCCUGGAAUUGUAGCUUUUACUUGCUAUAAAAUCUUGAGCUGAUAAAGUGUCCUGUCUAAUGCAUAAAUUGUUCCUUUUGUUGAUUCUAGUGUCCUCGGCAUCCUGAAAUGACCCUGAGAUAAUGUAACUCGAUAUUAUUUGUCUCCCGUCUCCAUAGAUUAUAUUUUUGGUAUGUGACUAAAGGAUUUCCCAUCCGCGUAGAUGAAGAAGCAUAGAGGGAGUCUUCCUAUGAGAAACCAUCAACUCUUUGAAGCAAUCAGUCCUUGUUUCUCAUAUUUGAAAUCAAAAUACAUUCCUCCAUUUUCCAAACUUCAGUAUCCUAUUUCCUUCCUUUUCACAGGUGACAAACUAGGGGAAUGAUCUAGUGCAACAUGAAAGACUUGAGUUAGUAGAUAUAAGGCUUACUUUACUGAAUGGAGACUCGUAUCGAGAUAAUGAGCAUUAAACUGCAGGAUUCCUAAGAGAAGCUCCAAUUUCAAGACACCUCAAAUUUGUAUGGUACUAGCAUCUGUCGCAUAUCGCUCCAUCUGCAUAUGGAUUUUUUGUCCCCCUGUGUUUGAUCUUCAAUUGUUUAAAUAACUUUCCUUGAGCAUAGUGAACUGUAGAUAAAAUGCAUGGUGUGUCAUAUGAUUGAAAGAAACAACAUAGUGAAGUGUGCAGGAGAAGUCUAAGACUGUUUACUGUAGUCAUACUUAUCUACUUGAGCAAUGAUGUGGAAAGUAUGUUCAUUCUUUUAUUUUUUUCUCAUCUAAGACUGUUUUCGGAGAAAUAAUCAUCUUUUGGGUGACACUGUGAAAAGUUGCCAUUCUUUCAUUUUGUCGAGCAAAUUAUCUUCCUUAGAUUUCCUUAUUGUUAAUGCUGUGUCGGUGCUUGAUUUUUGUCUAAGCAAUUUGAGAAAUAUUUUACAAGGGCAGAACUAUAAAAAAAUUGUGUUUAUACUUAAUAAACACUAUCCAAAAUGAAGCAUGUUAUAAUAUCUAAUGCUCUGUAGUGAACUACCAUAAAGUUGAGGCAACUGAAAGGAAGGCUGACCCAGUUAUCAGUCAACAAGUGAAACUGGCAUAACCAGCUUACAACUAGCACUUGGUUGUUCUUAUGAUGGAACUGGUUGUUCAGGUUUGAUCUUCUUUCGUGCAUCAAACCUUUGCAUGUCUUGUGUGUCUACAUGUUGUAAACUGCCCUUCAAACUCAUGUAAUUCUGGACUUGGAGUUAGAGGUCCAAUCUGAAAUAAGCUAUGCAUUAAUCUCACCUUUUGGAGCAUCUGAGUUUUGUAUAUCCUGUAAUUUGCUGUGUUCUUUUGCAUGGUUCACAGUGACCAACCACUUUUGUCUCAUUCCUUUUAGAUGUCUAUUAUCUGCAGACAUAGAAACCUAUUCUUCCUGUCAUUUGCUUUGUUAAUAUACAUACCUUUUCAUAAGUGACACAAAAGUGUAUCGUCAUGUAGUAACAAUUGACUCUUUUAAGAAAAAAUACAUUGAUUUAUUACGGCUAAAAGUUUAGAUGCUAAUUCCUCUUGGGCUUCUAUUCCUUUGCAAAGAAUUGUAUCAUGUGGAAGGUUCAGAGUUAAGUUCAGAUGCUACAUUUCAUUUGGGCUUCCAUUCCUCUGUGAACAAGAGUUUUACGCUUCCAUUCCGACUUUGUUCGUUCAGGUAUAGAUUGCAUCAUUGUCUUUUAUUUUUUCAUUGCUUCAAAUGCUGAAAUUCACUUGGACUUCCAUUCCUCUGCAUAGAAUUGUAUCAAGUGUUUUAGACAUACAUUUUUGUUCAGGUUAUACUUUUGAACAUAUUCUCUCUUAUUUAUUUUUUUAGUUCCGAUGCUAAGUUUCUCUUUGGGCUUCCAUUUCUGCAAAGAAGAAUUCGGGUUUAGACUUCAUUCCAUCUUUGUUCAAGCUAUGCUUUCAUUAUUUUCUUUUAUUUUUUCCGUUGCCUGUCUUUGUUUUGGUGUUUUUAUCUAUGAAUCAGGAUUGACUUUUGAAGUUACUAGUUGUCUCUCGCUUUUGUUUAUUUUUAUUGUUUGAGUGGGUGUUGUGAGGCUAGGACUCUUAGGGGUCGUUUGGUUGAGAAAUAAGUUAUCCCAUGAUUAAUUAUCCGGUAUUAGUUGUCCUGGGAUUAGUUAUUCCACCCUCUCAUAGGGAUAAAAAAACACUGCAAUCCCGAGAUAACUGAUCCGGGGAUUAGUUAUACCACAAUUUUAUUCCAAUCAAACAUGGAAUAAACUCAUCUCAAAUUUAAUCCUGAGAUUAAUAUACCUAAUCUCUCAUACCAAACGAGCCCUUAGAGUCUGUAUUUUUCAAGGGCAUCCUUGCUUAAUCGUGUUUUCUACCUGGAGAAGCUGCAAGAAACAAAGAAAAAAAGAAAGAUGAAAAGGCGUUCAUUUAGUUAGUGCAAGGCAAACAGAUGCAGCAGUUCCCAACUGCAUUAUGCCUUUCCAUCAUGACUGCCUUCCAGAAAGCUCCCAAUGGUCUACUUCUUUCUGAUAUCAUAGAUAAAUUAGCUCAGCACUAGUGUCUGAACUUGUUUCUGUUGUAUGCAAGACCUAUCUACACUUGCUUCUGGUUUAUGCAAGAUCUAUCAGACUUUCAUGGACUUGUUCAAGAGGGAUUGUGUUUCUCGUGGUGUUCAUAGACUUAACUUAAUGUUGUUCUUAUGAGUGGUGCUGCGAAGCAUUUCAGGAAGCACGACACCUUGGCUUUCAUCUCAUAUUAAUGAUUUUGCACCUAGGUGUAUAUUCCAACAUUCAAUGAAGUGUGUGAAACCAUGAGAGAAUGAAGGUUCAAAAUGCAGUAGAGACAAUUGACAUUAGGACACCACCAUUAUUUGGAAAAAAAAAAAAGAGAGGAAAGAAGCAGGGGGCGUAUCUAGGGGGGUUUCAUGGGGCACAUGAAUCCAUGCUCCCCGCCCUAAAUCAUGUAUAGUAGUGAUAUACUUUUUUUCAAAAAUAUUUAAAUAUAUGUGUGUGCACCCAUGCUCAAAGUAUUAUAUGAUGCGAUGGUUAUUGGGUGUACAUCUGUAGGUGAUGUUGUGAGUUUAAAUCUUAUGUCAAUCUUGUUGUUUUUUCCUUUUUUUUUUCUAGAAGUAGACUCCCCCGAGAGGUGGACAUGUCUGGUGUUAUUUUUUAAGUUCUUUUUCUUUUUAUUUCUUUUUUUGUUUGGUUUAUUCUUUCAAAAUUUUCAUUGAAA